GACGAACGCUGGCGGCGUGCUUAACACAUGCAAGUCGAACGGAAAGGCCCCUUUGGGGGUACUCGAGUGGCGAACGGGUGAGUAACACGGGAGUAACCUGCCCUUGACUUCGGGAUAACUUCAGGAAACUGGGGCUAAUACCGGAUAGGAAUCCUUGCUGCAUGGUGGGGGUUGGAAAGCUUCGGCGGUUUUGGAUGGACUCGCGGCUUAUCAGCUUGUUGGUGGGGUAGUGGCUUACCAAGGCUUUGACGGGUAGCCGGCCUGAGAGGGCGACCGGCCACAUUGGGACUGAGAUACGGCCCAGACUCCUACGGGAGGCAGCAGUGGGGAAUAUUGCACAAUGGGCGGAAGCCUGAUGCAGCAACGCCGCGUGCGGGAUGACGGCCUUCGGGUUGUAAACCGCUUUCAGCAGGGGCGAAGCUUGUGGUGACGGUACCUGCAGAAGAAGCACCGGCUAACUACGUG
RNAcentral lists this ribosomal RNA (465 nucleotides) under uncultured bacterium. RNAcentral describes it as "partial 16S ribosomal RNA". It matches the Rfam family "Bacterial small subunit ribosomal RNA", at positions 28 to 507 of the family's 1533-position model. The record is from RNAcentral.